Molecule: ribosomal RNA, 2254 nt
Filed under: Campylobacter jejuni
Lineage: Bacteria; Pseudomonadati; Campylobacterota; Epsilonproteobacteria; Campylobacterales; Campylobacteraceae
Description: partial 23S ribosomal RNA
Rfam family: Bacterial large subunit ribosomal RNA
Source: RNAcentral
UAAAAAAAGGUAAGCUACUAAGAGCGAAUGGUGGAUGCCUUGACUGGUAAAGGCGAUGAAGGACGUACUAGACUGCGAUAAGCUACGGGGAGCUGUCAAGAAGCUUUGAUCCGUAGAUUUCCGAAUGGGGCAACCCAAUGUAUAGAGAUAUACAUUACCUAUAUAGGAGCGAACGAGGGGAAUUGAAACAUCUUAGUACCCUCAGGAAAAGAAAUCAAUAGAGAUUGCGUCAGUAGCGGCGAGCGAAAGCGCAAGAGGGCAAACCCAGUGCUUGCACUGGGGGUUGUAGGACUGCAAUGUGCAAGAGGUAAGUUUAGCAGAACAUUCUGGAAAGUAUAACCAUAGAGGGUGAUAGUCCCGUAUGCGAAAAACAAACCUUAGCUAGCAGUAUCCUGAGUAGGGCGGGACACGAGGAAUCCUGUCUGAAUCCGGGUCGACCACGAUCCAACCCUAAAUACUAAUACCAGAUCGAUAGUGCACAAGUACCGUGAGGGAAAGGUGAAAAGAACUGAGGUGAUCAGAGUGAAAUAGAACCUGAAACCAUUUGCUUACAAUCAUUCAGAGCCCUAUGUAGCAAUACAGGGUGAUGGACUGCCUUUUGCAUAAUGAGCCUGCGAGUUGUGGUGUCUGGCAAGGUUAAGCAAACGCGAAGCCGUAGCGAAAGCGAGUCUGAAUAGGGCGCUUAGUCAGAUGCUGCAGACCCGAAACGAAGUGAUCUAUCCAUGAGCAAGUUGAAGCUAGUGUAAGAACUAGUGGAGGACUGAACCCAUAGGCGUUGAAAAGCCCCGGGAUGACUUGUGGAUAGGGGUGAAAGGCCAAUCAAACUUCGUGAUAGCUGGUUCUCUCCGAAAUAUAUUUAGGUAUAGCGUUGUGUCGUAAUAUAAGGGGGUAGAGCACUGAAUGGGCUAGGGCAUACACCAAUGUACCAAACCCUAUCAAACUCCGAAUACCUUAUAUGUAAUCACAGCAGUCAGGCGGCGAGUGAUAAAAUCCGUCGUCAAGAGGGAAACAACCCAGACUACCAGCUAAGGUCCCUAAAUCUUACUUAAGUGGAAAACGAUGUGAAGUUACUUAAACAACCAGGAGGUUGGCUUAGAAGCAGCCAUCCUUUAAAGAAAGCGUAAUAGCUCACUGGUCUAGUGAUUUUGCGCGGAAAAUAUAACGGGGCUAAAGUAAGUACCGAAGCUGUAGACUUGCACACAACUUAGAUUAUUUAAGUUUAGAAUAUUAAGAAACUAAGUUAUAUGUUUUAGUUAUAUUUUUACUGAUUUUUAUAGGGUAAAGAUAGAAAUAAAACUUAGUAAAAUCAGUAAAAAUAUUCUUAGGCUAAAGUUAAGUAGUUUAAGUUGUGUGCAAGUGGUAGGAGAGCGUUCUAUUUGCGUCGAAGGUAUACCGGUAAGGAGUGCUGGAGCGAAUAGAAGUGAGCAUGCAGGCAUGAGUAGCGAUAAUUAAUGUGAGAAUCAUUAACGCCGUAAACCCAAGGUUUCCUACGCGAUGCUCGUCAUCGUAGGGUUAGUCGGGUCCUAAGUCGAGUCCGAAAGGGGUAGACGAUGGCAAAUUGGUUAAUAUUCCAAUACCAACAUUAGUGUGCGAUGGAAGGACGCUUAGGGCUAAGGGGGCUAGCGGAUGGAAGUGCUAGUCUAAGGUCGUAGGAGGUUAUACAGGCAAAUCCGUAUAACAAUACUCCGAGAACUGAAAGGCUUUUUGAAGUCUUCGGAUGGAUAGAAGAACCCCUGAUGCCGUCGAGCCAAGAAAAGUUUCUAAGUUUAGCUAAUGUUGCCCGUACCGUAAACCGACACAGGUGGGUGGGAUGAGUAUUCUAAGGCGCGUGGAAGAACUCUCUUUAAGGAACUCUGCAAAAUAGCACCGUAUCUUCGGUAUAAGGUGUGGUUAGCUUUGUAUUAGGAUUUACUCCGAAAGCAAGGAAACUUACAACAAAGAGUCCCUCCCGACUGUUUACCAAAAACACAGCACUCUGCUAACUCGUAAGAGGAUGUAUAGGGUGUGACGCCUGCCCGGUGCUCGAAGGUUAAUUGAUGGGGUUAGCAUUAGCGAAGCUCUUGAUCGAAGCCCGAGUAAACGGCGGCCGUAACUAUAACGGUCCUAAGGUAGCGAAAUUCCUUGUCGGUUAAAUACCGACCUGCAUGAAUGGCGUAACGAGAUGGGAGCUGUCUCAAAGAGGGAUCCAGUGAAAUUGUAGUGGAGGUGAAAAUUCCUCCUACCCGCGGCAAGACGGAGAGACCCCGUGGACCUU